CGUAGCAAUACGUCAGCGGCAGACGGGUGAGUAACGCGUGGGAACAUACCUUUUGGUUCGGAACAACCCAGGGAAACUUGGGCUAAUACCGGAUAAGCCCUUACGGGGAAAGAUUUAUCGCCGAAAGAUUGGCCCGCGUCUGAUUAGCUAGUUGGUGAGGUAAUGGCUCACCAAGGCGACGAUCAGUAGCUGGUCUGAGAGGAUGAUCAGCCACAUUGGGACUGAGACACGGCCCAAACUCCUACGGGAGGCAGCAGUGGGGAAUAUUGGACAAUGGGCGCAAGCCUGAUCCAGCCAUGCCGCGUGAGUGAUGAAGGCCCUAGGGUUGUAAAGCUCUUUUGUGCGGGAAGAUAAUGACGGUACCGCAAGAAUAAGCCCCGGCUAACUUCGUGCCAGCAGCCGCGGUAAUACGAAGGGGGCUAGCGUUGCUCGGAAUCACUGGGCGUAAAGGGUGCGUAGGCGGGUCUUUAAGUCAGGGGUGAAAUCCUGGAGCUCAACUCCAGAACUGCCUUUGAUACUGAAGAUCUUGAGUUCGGGAGAGGUGAGUGGAACUGCGAGUGUAGAGGUGAAAUUCGUAGAUAUUCGCAAGAACACCAGUGGCGAAGGCGGCUCACUGGCCCGAUACUGACGCUGAGC
This 636-nucleotide ribosomal RNA is filed under the name Bradyrhizobium sp. RNAcentral describes it as "bacterial SSU rRNA". It matches the Rfam family "Bacterial small subunit ribosomal RNA", at positions 75 to 752 of the family's 1533-position model. The record is from RNAcentral. Lineage: Bacteria; Pseudomonadati; Pseudomonadota; Alphaproteobacteria; Hyphomicrobiales; Nitrobacteraceae.